Molecule: non-coding RNA, 897 nt
Organism: Mastomys coucha (southern multimammate mouse)
Lineage: Eukaryota; Metazoa; Chordata; Mammalia; Rodentia; Muridae
Source: the annotation of a RefSeq genome assembly
CUGUGUCACUGCCUAGUGCUGAGCAAUCUUGAAAAGAAUAGACCUGGUUUGUGAAUUAUGGCCUGUACUUCACUUUUGGUCACUCUUCUAGCAUUGUGCUCAGGGGCCAUUUCCCAGGCUGUUGUGACUCAGGAAUCUGCACUCACCACAUCACCUGGUGGGACAGUCACCCUCACUUGUCGCUCAAGUACUGGGGCUGUUACAACCAGUAACUAUGCCAGCUGGGUCCAAGAAAAACCAGAUCAUUUAUUCACUGCUAUAAUAGGUGGUACCAACAACCCAGCUCCAGGUGCUCCUGCCAGAUUCUCAGGCUCCCUGAUUGGAGACAGGGCUGCCCUUACCAUCACAGGGGCACUGUUUGAGGAUGAAGCUAUGUAUUUCUGUGCUCUCUGGUACAGCAACCAUUGGGUGUUCGGUGGAGGAACCAGAUUGUCUGUCCUAGGCCAGCCCAAGUCUACGCCCUCAGUCAAUCUAUUCCCACCUUCCCCUGAAGAGCUCAAGACUAACAAGGCCACACUGGUGUGUAUGGUCACUGGAUUCUACCCAGAAUCUCUGACAGUGGACUGGCAGGCAGAUGGUACACCUGUCACUCAGGGUGUGGAGACUACCCAGCCUUCCAAACAGAGCGACAACAAGUACAUGGCUAGCAGCUACCUGUCCUUGACAGCAAGAGAGUGGGAAGCUCAUAACAAUUUCAUCUGCCAAGUCACUCAUGAAGGGAACACUGUGGAGAAGAGUUUGUCCCGUGCUGAGUGUUCCUAGGUCAUCUGACCUUCAUCUCACCCACAGAGGCUGAGAUCAGAAACGUGCCAAAGUAUACCCUUAGUGCUUUUGCCUACCAUAGCCCUUCUCCCUACCCUCAAAAUACACAAUAAAAUGUUCAUUCACAACCUGUAA